Molecule: unclassified non-coding RNA, 319 nt
Filed under: uncultured fungus
Lineage: Eukaryota; Fungi
Description: partial contains 5.8S ribosomal RNA and internal transcribed spacer 2
Rfam family: 5.8S ribosomal RNA (bases 1-133)
Source: RNAcentral
UGGUUCUGGCAUCGAUGAAGAACGCAGCGAAAUGCGAUAAGUAAUGUGAAUUGCAGAAUUCAGCGAAUCAUCGAAUCUUUGAACGCACAUUGCGCCUCCGGGUAUUCCUAGAGGCAUGCCUGUUCGAGCGUCGUUAAAGACCAUAAGGCUUUGCCUUGCGAUGAGUCUCUGGUGUCUUCUUGACGUCAGGGGCUUUAAACUGAUUGGCGUCUGAAGUUAGCCCAAGCACAGCGAUAUGUGUUCUGUAUCUAUCUAAAGAUUUGCCCAUAACCAAAAUUUUUAAUUGGUCGACCUCGGAUCAGGCAAGAUUACCCGCUGA